UCUCGCUCCCUCCUACUCUCUCUGAAAAUCAAUGGAAAAAUAUCCUCAGGUGAGGAUUAAUUUAAAAAAAAAAAAAAUGCAGCAGGUUUCUAGGGAAAUGUAGUGGGGACACUGGAAAAGAAGAUUUCAGGAGACAAAGCAAGGGGUGAGGUUGGCAUGCGGGUGUUGAAGACGGUGCAUGUCCCUUUAAGAGGAGGACAACAGCCCAACUGGCCUGGCCGGGGCCGUCUGCACUGCCCUCUCCGGCUGUCUCUGAGCUGCUGGCCGGUCAGAAGCACUUGCCCCCAUCCCCUUUGCGGCCUGGAUUUUCCAGAGCUGCAGCCGCCCGGAGCUGGCUCCUUACUCUUUCCUUUCCAAAGCCCUCCAUCCACUCCCCGAACAACAACUAAUGGGUCCCAGCUGUUGGCAUGCAGCUGUGGUCCAGCCCACGGCGGAGCAAUAGGUUUUCUGACCCGAAAGGCCGCCAGUGCAGACAGAGGUUGGUGUUGAGUCAUUCUCACCCCGCGUGAACCCAUGCCAGGAACAGCCCGUCCUGUGUGGGUGCCCGCUGAAGUGAGGGGUUUUCUCUGGGCUGCUGACACUGAGCACGUAAACCUCAGGAUCCGCCGAGGGUGAAACGUGUGUUUGAGUACUUUUUCUUUCUUCUUUGGCAGGCAGGCACCUGAGUGACUUAAAAGCAAACUUAAAAGAACAAGGCAGUGGGUGGAAAAGGACUGUCACCCGGGCUGGAAAGCUGGCCUUCUCUAGCAGGGAGGCGGCAUCCUUCCGUUUUCUCCCCGGCUGUGCGGUGACCGCCCGGAAGGGGGUCUUGCUGCGGCAGCAGCGGCAGGAGGGGGCUGUGCAUGUCAGUGCCCUUCUCCCCAAGGAAUCAGGGUCCCCUUUCCAGAGAGGAUGCCCAGGAGAUGGCUCACUGCAGAGAUGUCUCACUUUACCCUUAAGGCAGUAAUGCAGGGUGUCAUCUGUGCGCCUACAGCACAUCCUACAGGGUUACAUCAAGAGUUUGUGUCCUUUAA
Long non-coding RNA from Pipistrellus kuhlii (Kuhl's pipistrelle), 1013 nucleotides. RefSeq lists it as uncharacterized. The transcript is spliced from 2 exons. The record is from RefSeq and is a predicted model, not a curated record. NCBI's taxonomy places the organism in Eukaryota, Metazoa, Chordata, Mammalia, Chiroptera, Vespertilionidae.